Emys orbicularis (European pond turtle) is the source of this 289-nucleotide long non-coding RNA. RefSeq lists it as uncharacterized. NCBI's taxonomy places the organism in Eukaryota, Metazoa, Chordata, Testudines, Emydidae. The transcript has 3 exons. The record is from RefSeq and is a predicted model, not a curated record.
GGAGGAUGGAGACACUCUUUUCAGCUUCCAGGAUGGCACUGAUAAGGUUAAUCUGCAGCCAAAUAAGGGAAGUUGUCUGGAGGAGCCUGGUUAUUAAGAGAGAAAGAUCUAGCUGAAUCCUCUAAGAUUUUAGGCAUACAAUGAACAGGAGAUUUCCAUCCAUUCUGGAAGUUUAUUACAAAAGCAAUGAAUGGGCUGGAGUUUAUGGAAAAAGGGAGGAGGACCAACUGAAAUGGCUAAGCAGCAAAAAUUAGAAGUAAGUAAAAACAGAAGCAGUGUAAAACAAAAU